CCUGAUAACCGUUCUCCGAGCCUGGAGUCUACCGCGGAUUGCGCGUUAAACCUUUGAGGUCUGGCAGACCUCAAAGGUCUGUGCCGCCCGCCACGACGUAGGGCCGCACCCUCCCCUGUGGAGGGGCCGCUGAUUUCGAUCGGCGGCGUGGGCCGGCGGGGAAACCCGCUGACCUCCCCGUGUUUGGAAAGGAGACGCGUCGCACAGCCU
RNAcentral lists this non-coding RNA (210 nucleotides) under Anaerolineae bacterium. Its description in RNAcentral is "MoCo sequence". It matches the Rfam family "Molybdenum/Tungsten riboswitch aptamer (Moco RNA motif)". The record is from RNAcentral. Lineage: Bacteria; Bacillati; Chloroflexota; Anaerolineae.